ACUAGUUUUAAAUGAAUAUAUCCGUCAAUAUCAUAUAAGCUCUCUUAUUAAGUAUACAACAUCAGUCUACUAAUAUUUUGUACUCAGCAAUUAUUUUUCUCAACUAAAUAGUAUAUGUAACCGACAGAAUUCUAACUCAACCUCUGCUACUCUGAUGGCACACAACAACGACUUUUUCUUCUGCAAAUAAGUUGAUCUACUUACACAAACGAUAUUUUUAAUAUUUUAUACCUACCAAUCUCAAUCAAUCCUCUUCUUUAGAACAUCAUUUAGGACCACCCACGUACUU
Molecule: long non-coding RNA, 289 nt
Filed under: Ananas comosus (pineapple)
Lineage: Eukaryota; Viridiplantae; Streptophyta; Magnoliopsida; Poales; Bromeliaceae
Description: long non-coding RNA (ACOM_LNC029847)
Source: RNAcentral